Molecule: ribosomal RNA, 200 nt
Filed under: uncultured bacterium
Lineage: Bacteria
Description: partial 16S ribosomal RNA
Rfam family: Bacterial small subunit ribosomal RNA
Source: RNAcentral
GCACUCUGCAACUCGAGUGCAUNAAGGCGGAAUCGCUAGUAAUCGUGGAUCAGCAUGCCACGGUGAAUACGUUCCCGGGCCUUGUACACACCGCCCGUCACACCAUGGGAGUUGGUCUUACCCGACGGCGCUGCGCCAACCGCAAGGGGCAGGCGACCACGGUAGGGUCAGCGACUGGGGUGAAGUCGUAACAAGGUACC